UUUCGACCCCUUAAAAUGGUACAAAAUUCAUGAAACCCUCAAUAAAAAUAUGUGAAAAAGGUUUUAUAACACUCUCCAUCGAAAAAUCUUUGGAAAAACCUCAACAGCAAGUACCACCAGACUGAAUGGCUCCACAGUCUUCAUCACGAUAUCGGACAUAGCAAGCCAUCGAUCAAGCCGAUUUAAAAAAAAACUUACAGUGUUUAAAAAAAGUGUUUUAAUUGUUCUGUUUCCCGGUUCGGCGUCGAGUAACGUGCGCAAGAACCCACCGUUUUCAUCGGUACUAUUCGAGGUACCCUCGUAAGCUCCGCUAUCUGUAAUUGGCACACACAGCUGCCGAGAUAGAGCGGCGAGAUUACAGAGCCGAUCAUGUUGGACCGAAUAGCAAUAGUACUGUGUCUCUUGUGCCUCCCGGUACUAGGAUGCGCGCAUUUAGACGAUGUUCCUAGUGACGGGAAAGUCGGUAGUGAUGAUGGAGACGUUGUCAGUACCAAAACUAAGCCAGGAGAUGUUCUUCAAGUGGAAAAAUCGAUAAAAGCAGUUGAAGAAACAGGAUAUAAUGCUUUGGACGGUGUUUCUAGUACCAGGAAGGUUGAUAUUGAUGAUGGAGAUGUUGUCAGGAUAGCAACUAAGCAAGAUGAGGUUGUUCAGGUGCAAAACGCCAAUGAGAGCGUCGUGCAAACAAGUUACAAUGCACAUAAAAAAUUUUCAGUGGAGGAAUUGCUGACCAAAACGUUUCCAAAAAAAACUUCAAAUGAUACUGGGUUGAAUCCUUGUAAAGCAGAUGUGUUUGUGGAUGAUAUUGCCAUAAAUUUUCCCGAUCCCAAAAGGAAAGUCUUCGCUAGAUUCAUGCACGAGGACCUGGAAAAUGCUGAUAAACAAGCCUUGAAUUCGGAAAAAGCAAAGAAAUUGUUGGAGAAAAACAAACUAUGGAAAAUCACUCCAGAACCGCUCCAAACCACACCUAACCCACACAAAAUUACCAAAAGAGCAGCAGUAACAACCUUCAAGGAACGUCUAUGGGACCAUGGAGUCAUCCCAUAUGAAAUCGACGACUCCUUCAGUGAUUUUCGCAAAGCUCUGGCCAGACAAGCCAUGAGGCACUGGGAAAACCACACCUGCCUCAAAUUCAUCGAAAGGAACAAGACUGAGAACGACAAUUACGUGUUUUUCACCGAAAAACCAUGCGGUUGUUGCUCGUUUGUCGGUAAAAGAGGCUUGGGAGCUCAGGCUUUGAGCAUAGGGCCUAAAUGCGCUGUUUUUGGUGUGGUUGUACACGAAAUAGGACACGCUAUUGGGUACUAUCAUGAACAUACCAGACCUGAUCGAGAUAGUUAUGUCGAAGUGUAUUUGGACAAUGUUAAAAAAGAACAAAAAGUAAACUUUGAGAAACUCAGCUCAGACCAAGUGAGCUCGUUGGGCCUCAAGUACGACUAUGAUUCCAUAAUGCACUACGCCAAAAACACAUACUCAAAAAACGCCUACGUUGACACCAUCAAACCAAUCGUCGCUGAUGGUAUGAAAAGUCCAGAAAUUGGCCAAAGAGUGAAGCUAAGCGAAGGAGAUAUUACGCAGACUCAAAUCCUCUACAACUGUCCAAAGUGUGGUAAAACGUUUCAGACAAAGUCAGGAUCAUUUUCUUCGCCUCAAGUCAGUACCAAUUCAGCUGAAGGUAGUACUUUGUGCGAAUGGAGGAUCAGUGCAACUCCUGGGGAGAAAAUUAUAUUGAAUAUCACCUCCAUGGAUAUUUUGAAGUCGCCAAAUUGUUCGGAAAACUAUGUGGAAGUACGUGAUGGCUAUUGGAGAAAAUCAAAAUUACUAGGUGUGUUUUGUGGUCGUGGUGAAAUAAACAACAUCAAAUCCGAAAGCAACCGCAUGCUAGUUACCUACGUAGCUGACAAUACCAUCCCCAGCCAAACUUUUAAUGCAAACUUCGAAGUGAUUUGUGGUGGAGUACUUCACAUCAACUCUGAAGGGUAUUUAGCUUCACCAAACUAUCCCGACGAAUACCACCCAGGAAAAAGUUGCACUUGGUUUAUUACAGUACCAGAAAAAUACCAGGUGGCUAUAAAAUUUCUGGCUUUCGAUUUAGAACAUCACGUGAACUGCAGUUAUGAUUACGUAGAGAUUUCAGAUGGUUUCAGAUCGAAUUCAACACGUUUACAACAGUCUUGUGGUACUUUAAUACCUGAUGAUGUCACGUCUAGUGGUAGCGAGAUGACUGUAACGUUUGUGAGCGAUAGAUCGAACCAAAAAGGAGGAUUUUCUGCCAAAAUUAUCGCGGAAUUCAAUGAGUGUGAAAAAACUAAUCACGGGUGUGAACAGUUGUGUGUGAAUACAUUGGGAAGCUUCAUGUGUGCCUGCCAGCCUGGGUUUGAACUUCAUUCCGAUAGAAAAAGCUGCGUUGAUGCAUGUGGUGGUAAAUUCAACGCACCCAGAGGCACAAUAACUUCACCCUCCUUCCCUGAAUUGUACCCGGUGGGCAAAAAAUGUUCCUGGGAAAUCGAGGCGCCUCCCCAACAUAAGAUUUUUCUCAAUUUCACGCACAUGGACAUAGAGGGAAAUGACUACGACUACCAAUUGUGCGAGUACGACAGAGUUGAAGUUUACAGUCACCUGGGGAACUACAAAACGAAGCACCAUGGUACUUUUUGCGGUAGAAAAUUGCCGAAAAUGAUUGGGUCGGAUAGUAAUAUUAUGCGUAUUGGUUUUGAUUCGGAUGCCAAUGUACAGAGGACAGGUUUUGCAGCUGUGUAUUUUAUUGAUGUAGAUGAGUGUGCUGUAAGAAACGGUGGUUGUGACCACGACUGUACCAACACCUUGGGCAGUUACCAAUGUUCCUGUCGUACCGGCUUCACUCUUUCCGACAAUAAAAAGAACUGCAUCGAGGGUGACUGUGUCCAUGAGAUUUUCACUCCACCUCACGGUACAAUAAACAGUCCAAACUACCCCAAGUACUACCCACCCUCCAAGGACUGCGUCUGGCAUAUUAGGACACUCCCUGGACACAGAAUACGAUUUUUGAUGGAGAUUCGCCCAAGGCUGUCCAGCUGGGGAGGUAUUGCGGGCCUAUGGGUCCCCAUCACGUAGCCUCGUCGGAGAAUCAUAUUUAUAUGACGUUUAAGUCAGAUAACAACGUGCCUAAGAAAGGGUUUCUUGGUGUAUUUUCAACGCAAUGUGGUGGUCUGCUUCAAGCUUCUUUGGACAAAAGACAGAUAUACUCGCAUCCAAAGUACGGAAACACAACGUACGCUCCAAAAUCGAUCUGUAAUUGGUAUGUUCUGAGCUCCACCGGCUACAACGUC
Molecule: unclassified non-coding RNA, 3305 nt
Filed under: Sitophilus oryzae (rice weevil)
Lineage: Eukaryota; Metazoa; Arthropoda; Insecta; Coleoptera; Curculionidae
Description: bone morphogenetic protein 1-like, transcript variant X1
Source: RNAcentral